RNAcentral lists this unclassified non-coding RNA (426 nucleotides) under fungal sp. Its description in RNAcentral is "partial internal transcribed spacer region". The stretch from base 1 to 46 matches the Rfam family "Eukaryotic small subunit ribosomal RNA", at positions 1786 to 1831 of the family's 1831-position model. Lineage: Eukaryota; Fungi. The record is from RNAcentral.
AAGUCGUAACAAGGUUUCCGUAGGUGAACCUGCGGAAGGAUCAUUAACACGUAUCCAAACGUUAAAACCCCCCCCGUGAACCUUCAUCCUGCUCUUGUAACCCGCGUCGUAGUUCGCAAUCUCUGAUAAAUCAUAGCCCGGAAAGUUGUAGUGAUUCACAGACCUCUGGCUACGUGCGAACAUUGGAACAGUUACAAUAGAAGCGCUAUCCUUGCACAAUCAAUGACACUUUCCGACACUGACUGUUUGGGGAAACAUUGCCUGUAGAACUACCGCUCGACGAUUCCUGUAGACCGUACACUCGGGCAGGAGCUUUGCCAAAGGGUCCCCAUGCCCCCUAAUAACCCCACAGUUUAAUGUGAAGCUCAAUGUAAUACAUUGGGUAGAAAAACCGAACAACUGUUAACAAUGGAUAUCUUGGUUCUC